GACAGAGGGGGCAAGCGUUGCUCGGAAUUACUGGGCGUAAAGGGCGCGUAGGCGGGAUGGCAAGUCGGUCGUGAAAUCCUUCGGCUCAACCGAAGAACGUCGAUCGAUACUGCUGUUCUUGAGGGUUGCAGAGGAGACUGGAAUUCCCGGUGUAGCGGUGAAAUGUGUAGAGAUCGGGAGGAACACCCGUGGCGAAGGCGGCCAGCUGGGCCGUCCCUGACGCUGAGGCGCGAAGGCGUGGGGAGCGAACGGG
Molecule: ribosomal RNA, 253 nt
Filed under: uncultured bacterium
Lineage: Bacteria
Description: partial 16S ribosomal RNA
Rfam family: Bacterial small subunit ribosomal RNA
Source: RNAcentral